Molecule: long non-coding RNA, 402 nt
Organism: Aphis gossypii (cotton aphid)
Lineage: Eukaryota; Metazoa; Arthropoda; Insecta; Hemiptera; Aphididae
Exons: 3
Source: RefSeq, a predicted model, not a curated record
UUUAAAAUUUGAAAUCUUAAAAAAUUCUCUGUGAGAUCGUGGUGGAAACCCACAAUAUCCGCUUUAUUACACAUACGCCACUGGAGUUAAUACAAUCUAGGUGUUGUGUUCAUAUCAUGACCUUGGCAGUGACAUACAUGAUGUCAAUUUAAAUGAUAUGGUCAUAGUACAUAUUCGUGAUUUGAAUAAUAUGGUUCAAACAUUUUACGUUAACAGGCAUAUGCCUUUAAUGCAUUUUAUGAGCUACUAUGCAGAAAUCUAUUACUGUCCAUUUCCAGGGGCAAAUUUAGUUUUUUAUUUGUUUGAUAGACAAUUGAAUAAUUUUGAUACACUACAAUUUCUCAACGUGAAAUGCUGCGUAAUCCUGGAUGUUUUGUGGCUGGUGAAUAUGUACAUUCAUAC